RNAcentral lists this ribosomal RNA (491 nucleotides) under uncultured soil bacterium. RNAcentral describes it as "bacterial SSU rRNA". It matches the Rfam family "Bacterial small subunit ribosomal RNA", at positions 26 to 509 of the family's 1533-position model. The record is from RNAcentral.
AGAUUGAACGCUGGCGGCAUGCCUUACACAUGCAAGUCGAACGGCAGCACGGGGGCAACCUGGCGGCGAGUGGCGAACGGGUGAGUAAUAUAUCGGAACGUACCCAAGAGUGGGGGAUAACGUAGCGAAAGUUACGCUAAUACCGCAUACGAUCUAAGGAUGAAAGCAGGGGACCGCAAGGCCUUGUGCUCCUGGAGCGGCCGAUAUCUGAUUAGCUAGUUGGUAGGGUAAAGGCUACCAAGGCUACGAUCAGUAGCUGGUCUGAGAGGACGACCAGCCACACUGGAACCUGAGACACGGUCCAGACUCCUACGGGAGGCAGCAGUGGGGAAUUUUGGACAAUGGGCGCAAGCCUGAUCCAGCAAUGCCGCGUGAGUGAAGAAGGCCUCGGUGUAAGCUCUUUGUCUAGGAAGAACGGUAGAGGACGUAAUAUCUUACUACUAAUAGACGUACCGUAGAAGAAGUAAGACGACCGGACUAACGUACGUACG